This 429-nucleotide ribosomal RNA is filed under the name bacterium. RNAcentral describes it as "partial 16S ribosomal RNA". It matches the Rfam family "Bacterial small subunit ribosomal RNA", at positions 355 to 776 of the family's 1533-position model. The record is from RNAcentral.
UAGGGAAUCUUCCACAAUGGACGCAAGUCUGAUGGAGCAACGCCGCGUGAGUGAAGAAGGUUUUCGGAUCGUAAAGCUCUGUUGUUGGUGAAGAAGGAUAGAGGCAGUAACUGGUCUUUAUUUGACGGUAAUCAACCAGAAAGUCACGGCUAACUACGUGCCAGCAGCCGCGGUAAUACGUAGGUGGCAAGCGUUGUCCGGAUUUAUUGGGCGUAAAGCGAGCGCAGGCGGAAUGAUAAGUCUGAUGUGAAAGCCCACGGCUCAACCGUGGAACUGCAUCGGAAACUGUCAUUCUUGAGUGCAGAAGAGGAGAGUGGAAUUCCAUGUGUAGCGGUGGAAUGCGUAGAUAUAUGGAAGAACACCAGUGGCGAAGGCGGCCCUCUGGUCUGCAACUGACGCUGAGGCUCGAAAGCAUGGGUAGCGAACAGG